RNAcentral lists this ribosomal RNA (1375 nucleotides) under uncultured bacterium. RNAcentral describes it as "bacterial SSU rRNA". It matches the Rfam family "Bacterial small subunit ribosomal RNA". The record is from RNAcentral.
GAGUUUGAUCCUGGCUCAGGACGAACGCUGGCGGCGUGCUUAACACAUGCAAGUCGAACGGUAAGGCCCCAGCUUGCUGGGGUACACGAGUGGCGAACGGGUGAGUAACACGUGGGUGACCUGCCCCGCACUUCGGGAUAAGCCUGGGAAACUGGGUCUAAUACUGGAUAGGACCGCGCCGUGAGGGUGUGGUGGAAAGUUUUUCGGUGUGGGAUGGGCCCGCGGCCUAUCAGCUUGUUGGUGGGGUAAUGGCCUACCAAGGCGGCGACGGGUAGCCGGCCUGAGAGGGUGGACGGCCACAUUGGGACUGAGACACGGCCCAGACUCCUACGGGAGGCAGCAGUGGGGAAUAUUGCACAAUGGGCGGAAGCCUGAUGCAGCGACGCCGCGUGGGGGAUGACGGCCUUCGGGUUGUAAACUCCUUUCACCAUCGACGAAGGUUUUCUGACGGUAGAUGGAGAAGAAGCACCGGCUAACUACGUGCCAGCAGCCGCGGUAAUACGUAGGGUGCGAGCGUUGUCCGGAAUUACUGGGCGUAAAGAGCUCGUAGGUGGUUUGUCGCGUCGUCUGUGAAAUUCCGGGGCUUAACUCCGGGCGUGCAGGCGAUACGGGCAUAACUUGAGUACUGUANGGGAGACUGGAAUCCCUGGUGUAGCGGUGAAAUGCGCAGAUAUCAGGAGGAACACCGGUGGCGAAGGCGGGUCUCUGGGCAGUAACUGACGCUGAGGAGCGAAAGCAUGGGUAGCGAACAGGAUUAGAUACCCUGGUAGUCCAUGCCGUAAACGGUGGGCGCUAGGUGUAGGGGUCUUCCACGACUUCUGUGCCGUAGCUAACGCAUUAAGCGCCCCGCCUGGGGAGUACGGCCGCAAGGCUAAAACUCAAAGGAAUUGACGGGGGCCCGCACAAGCGGCGGAGCAUGUGGAUUAAUUCGAUGCAACGCGAAGAACCUUACCUGGGCUUGACAUAUACGGGAUCGCCGCAGAGAUGUGGUUUCCCUUGUGGCUCGUAUACAGGUGGUGCAUGGUUGUCGUCAGCUCGUGUCGUGAGAUGUUGGGUUAAGUCCCGCAACGAGCGCAACCCUUGUCUUAUGUUGCCAGCACGUUAUGGUGGGGACUCGUGAGAAACUGCCGGGGUCAACUUGGAGGAAGGUGGGGAUGACGUCAAAUCAUCAUGCCCCUUAUGUCCAGGGCUUCACACAUGCUACAAUGGUCGGUACAGUGGGUUGCGAUGCCGUGAGGCGGAGCUAAUCCCUUAAAGCCGGUCUCAGUUCGGAUCGGGGUCUGCAACUCGACCCCGUGAAGUCGGAGUCGCUAGUAAUCGCAGAUCAGCAACGCUGCGGUGAAUACGUUCCCGGGCCUUGUACACGCCGCCCGUC